GCCUGGCUGGCUCAGUCGGUAAAGCAUGUGAUCUUAAUUUUGGGGUUGUGAGUUCAAGUCCCAUGCUGGGCA
This 72-nucleotide transfer RNA is filed under the name Canis lupus familiaris (dog). It matches the Rfam family "tRNA". From Rfam's summary of the family: Transfer RNA (tRNA) molecules are approximately 80 nucleotides in length. The record is from Rfam by way of RNAcentral. Lineage: Eukaryota; Metazoa; Chordata; Mammalia; Carnivora; Canidae. RNAcentral also lists the same sequence under 1 other name.